This is a long non-coding RNA of Eriocheir sinensis (Chinese mitten crab), 5528 nucleotides long. RefSeq lists it as uncharacterized. The record is from RefSeq and is a predicted model, not a curated record. The transcript has 2 exons. Lineage: Eukaryota; Metazoa; Arthropoda; Malacostraca; Decapoda; Varunidae.
AAGAAAGAGGUUUAGUGUCCAUUCUAUCCUGUGCUAUAGAUAGAGUUACUGAGGGAGGUAUUAGUAACUCAGGGUGAAGUAGCAAGUGUCCAUUCUAUCCUGUGCUAAAGAGAGUUAGCGAGGGAUAAGAAAGCGAGGUAUAACAUUAUGUCUUUGGUACACAUGGCUUCUUUUAUUGAUAGCGAUAUACAGAAGUGUCUAACGAGAGUUUACAGAAUACUCGCUAAAUGGCGCUAGUGUUGUGGAGUGCUGGUGGAGGGAGGAAGGGGGAAGAGGAGACGAGAGAAAGGAAGGGAGAGAGUGAGAGAGGAGAGAGAAUGGAAGAAAGGGAGUAUUGGAAAGGAAAUUAAGGGAAGAAGGUUGAUAGAGGAGAAAGUGAGAGAGGAAAGGAUGCAAGAAAGGAGGUGAGAAAAGAAAUUAAGGAGAAAAACGGGAGAAAGGAGAGAAGAAGAAGAGAGAGAGGAGAGGAGAGAAACAGAAGGAAGUACAGAGAGGAAUUAAAAAGGAAGAAGAGAGAGAGAGAGAGAGGAAUGAAGGACAGGAAGAAAAUGCAGAUAAGAAAAUAACGAAGAAGGGAGGAAAUAAAAUGAGAUACAGAGAAAGAAAGGAAGGAAGGAAAGGAAAUAAUGAAUAAAGAAAGGAAAGAAGAGAAUGAAAAGAGGUAUAACAGAAUGAAUGAAGGACGAAAGGCUUAUAGAGAUGAAGGAAGGUUGGAAAGAUGGAAGAGAAUGAGGAAAAGAAGGAAGGAAGGAAGGAAGGAAGGAAGGAAGGAAGGAGAUGGGUCUUUUUUGAGAUAGAACUCGUGAAUCACAAUGAAGGAACUGAAUAACACACACACACACACACACACACACACACACACACACACACACACACACACACACACACACACACACACACACACACACACACACACACAGUAACAUCAUUAUUUUAUUAUGUAUUUAUCAGUCAUUCAACAUCACAAUUACAAUAUAUUUUUUUUUUACAAACAAUAGUUAUUCACUUCCCUUAUGAUUAUUUCUAUUUUUUUCCUUUUUUCGUAUCAUUUUCUUAUUUUGUCUUCUAAUUACUUUUUCAUGUUAUUUACGUGUUUUUUUUUUGUCAUUUGUCAUUCAUAAUUUUACGCUUUCCUUUUCUUUCUUUUCUUUUCUUUUUUGGUUCUAUUUCACAUUUUAUUCAAUUAUUUGGUAACACAUUUUUCUUCUCAUUAUUUUUCAUGUCUUAAUUCUUUUGUUUUCCGUAUUAUUCAUUGUUAUUUUUUUUUUCAAUACGCGUUCGUCACUGAUUUGAUUUGAUUUUAGUUUUUCUCUAAUUUAUUUUCUUGGUCAUUAUCAUAUUUACAAGUCUAUUUAAUUUCUCUCAUUUCUAUUACAUUCGUUCAAGUUCAUCACCCACCCCAUAUUUUCUUCCCCACACACAAUUUUCUUUUCUGUUAGUUUUUCUCUAAUUAUUUUCUUGGUCACAAUCAUAUUUACAAGUCUAUCCAAACCAAAUUUUCGUCUAUAUAAUUUCUCUCAUUUCUAUUAUAUUCCUACAAGUUUAUCACCCACUACAUACUUAUUUUCUUCCUCACACACAAAAUAAUGCCAUCAGUACAUGUAAGAGUUCCUCCUAUAUAUAUUUUUCACACGUUUUUAACAUAAUAAUUUCUAAGUACUCUUUCACACUACCACGAAUUUCUUGCCCAACACAUCUUUUCACUUCACCCAAAACAAACAAAAACAUCAACAGUACAUUACACAGUAGAUAUCACCACUUAAAUAUAUCUUUUUUUACACGCUUUUUCACCUAAGUUCUUUUACAAUCUCUCUUAAGGUUUUCUAUUAGAUUCAAGCAACCUAUUUACUCGGUGCAUCUUUUCUCUUAACACACACACACAUACAAAACCCACCAACAGUACAUUAAGAGUUCGUCAUAUAUAUAUUUUUUCAAACGCCCUUUCAUAUAAACGAAAUAUAAUGUUUUUAGUUUUUCUCUUUCAAAUUCCUACGUUUCUUAUCGACAUCUUUUCUUUCUUUUCACGACAAUAUAAUAAUUUUUUUUAGACUCCUUUCAACAUAAAUUCUAAUAAUAUCUUUAAGUUUUCAAUCACAUUCGCAUAGUCCGCCUUUAAAUACAGUUGAUAUAUAUAUUUUUUUCCUGCUCUCUCUCUCUCUCUCUCUCUCUCUCUCUCUCUCUCUCUCUCUCUCUCUCUCUCUCUCUCUCUCUCUCUACAACGCACUCAGUCAUUACACUUUAUAUAUGUUUUUCAUGCACUUUCUCUCUCUAUACAAGGACAAACUCAACACACACACACACACACACACACACACACACACACACACACGAUAUAUAUUAACAACAUCCACUUCGUUAUCGUCUCCUUCAACAUCGUAGUAACAUCACCAACAGUCAGGCGAGACACAUACAACAGCGAUAUAUAUUAUUAUUAUGCAUUUAUUUAUUUAUUUAUUUAUUUAUGCUAGUUAGUGGUGGUGGUGGUGGAUAGUGUUGUUUUUUUGUUUUUCUUGUUUAUUUAUUAGUUUACGAUUAUAGUUUUUCGUUUUUCCAUUUUUUUCUGUUUUCAAUAUUAUUGUUCUAUUUUUUCCAUAUUUAUUGUGAUUUCCUCUAAUCAUUCUUUGUUUUUUCCCAUUUUUCACUUGUUUGCUAAGUUACAUAUGCUUUUUUUUUCUACUUCUUUCUAUAUCCAGUUAUUUUUUCUAAGUAGGCUAUACUCGAUGUUCCACUUUCUUCUACGACCACUUUUGUUGUUGUUAAGUUACACUCGUUUCUUUUCCAUUUCCUUCGUAUUUCUCGGUUUCUGACUCACAAGUGUAUACAAUAAACAUCGAUACUCUACGGUUUCACCACUAACUACAAAUCGAUAUCGUUAGUGGUGUGGGUACGACAGUUUUUGGGCCUGAAGCUUAUAUAUGUUUCUUGUAUUACUGCAAAUCACGCCAUGUUCCUCCCUUCUCCUUUGUUGCGUACUUUUGCAACAAUAAACCAUCAAUCAAUCAAUGUACGACAAUCUGGUAAGGCGGAAACCGAGGCGUCCAUUGCGCAUGCGUGGGUGUGACGCAACGUUGCAUUAUGUCGUACUCAGCCCCUUGUAGGAUAUAGGCUACCGAUUUUCAACCCAAAAACUAUCUCCUCCACCCCAAUAACGAGAUUCAUUUAGAGUUUUCUUUAAAAUCGUUAAUUACUGAUGAUUUUGGGCAAUGAUUAUGAGUCAGAAGCCGGAAACUACGAUGCUUUGAGUAUGAUAAUCUGUCAACGCGGGUGUGGAAGUGCGCGGGUGAGAUGGCGGCGGGCGGGUCUCAUGCGGUUGGUUCCUUGCGUAAUGUGCUUAUUUUCUCGCUUUUAGUGCUCGUUCGCGUGACUCCAAGUGCCCGCAGAGGAUGUCAACGCCCCCACGGUAAGUUCAGGCAUCUUUACCGUCCAUUAUAUCAUUAGUAUUGCCUUGAUUACCGUAGAUAUCAGAGGAUGAAGACGUGAGAAGGGCUUAUUGUUUUGAAGCCUUGCGGAGUGCCACCCAAACUCACCCCAACACACACACAUAAGAACACUGGCUCCUUAGGGGUUUUGGGUGAGGAUUAAGAGGUUUUGAGGCCGUCACACACACGUACACGGCUUCUAGCUCAUGUACGCACUCGGAAACCCGUGUAGGUAUGGAGAUAUAUGUGUACACGGGGCCCAGAUAGCUUGUGGUGGAUUGUUGGUUGACUUCGAUGGUUGUUAUUGCUUUAUGUUGUCGAUAUUUUUUUUUUCUUAUUUCUUCUUUAACUCUUUUCUUCGAUAUUCUUGUAUAUAUUUGUCUUGUUAUUCGAGUGCUUUUUCAAUACAUGUUUGUUAUUCAUAAUUUUAAGCUUUUUGAUAUUUUUUUAACGUUUCAAUUAUAUGUUAGUCCAUGAAUUUAUUUCCUUCGAUAUUCUUGUUUAUAUUUGUCUUGUUAUUCGAGUGGUUUCUCAAUACAUGUUUGUUAUUCAUAAUUUUAAGCUUUUUGAUAUUUUUUAACGUUUCAAUUAUAUGUUAGUCCAUUAAUUUUUUUUUCUUCGAUAUUCUUGUAUAUAUUUGUCUUGUUAUUCGAGUGGUUUCUCAAUAUAUGUUUGUUAUUCAUAAUUUUAAGCUUUUUGAUAUUUUUUUACGUUUUAAUUAUAUAUAAAUCCUUUUGCGUCGAUAGAUGGUCCAGUUUUCCAUCGUAUUCAGUUUGUCAUCGUAAGUUCAUUUUCAUUUCAUUAAACAUCACUGGUUUAAAUGCUCUUUCUUGGCGUAUUUUUUUCCUUUUUUUUGCGUUCAAGGUUUGUAUUGCUUCAUAAUGUUGUGUUACCUCGUUUUCUGCUUUCAUAUUCAUUAUUCACAUUCGUUAUUCAUUAUAUCGUUAGGCAUCACUGUGGAGCGUUCUGGGUCUGUGCGUUCAAUAGUUGUUUGGGGGUUGAGAAUUCAUAUCGCUUUUUUCCUCGUUAAGCAUCAUGUUUCCUCGUUUUUCGUCUAUUUCCUUUCGUUAAACAUCACUUAAACGUUCCUCCUGCUUUCCGCGUAUGUGAGUGUGUGUUUUUAAGUCUUUUCUGAGCAGCAUGAGCAAACAAACACACACAAACACACACACAGUAGCUACAGGCCGUUUGGGAAGUGAAGCGAGUUUUUAUUUAAUUUCAUUCACUCGUUUUUUUUUCUGAAUUUCUGCUUCGUUUCCGUUUCUCAUUUAGUUGUUCCACGUUCUGUAGUAAAACGUUCCUGCUUCUUAUAGUAUAUGUAUGUGGGGUUGGUCAACGUUUUUUCUGGGUAAUAUAACGUAAACACUGUACACACAACGUUUAUAUAAGGAAAUAAGAGUUAGUAGGCUAGUCGUCUUUUCGCUCUGAGGGCCGACUGAGACACCAACUCCGCCUCGAGCCACACUAUGAAGCCUAUUCGUCCCUAUUCGCUAUUUUUCUCAUUAAAUAAACAGCACAUAUAAUUAUUCUCACCAUCUUCCUCCAUUACCACUUAUAUAGUAUACGUAAAGCACCACCUGACAGUCGCUUAAAACCGUGUUCAUAUGUAGCUUUUAUUCCACGUAUAUUAUCAUUAUUAUCGUAACACUGGCAGAUAGGGAAUAAGAGGAGGAGGACGCAAGAAGAGGAAGAGGAGGAGUCAAAGAAAACGGAGAGCUCACAAGGGAGACUUCAACAAACAGGCUAGAGGAGGAGGAGGAAGUGCAGUGCGUAGGGAUAUGUUGACUUGACUUGCUGACUUGCUGAGCUGAUGAGGUGCAUUGCCGGACCGAGGGCUGAUUUGUGGGGUGAGGGAAGGAGGCUGCUGAGGCGCUGACGUGGAAGGAAGGUGCUGAGUUUCUUGCUGUCGUGUGGAAAAAAGGAAGAAAGGGAAGGAAAGGAAUGAGAAGGAAGGAAUAGGAAAGAAAAGAGAAAGGGAGAAUAUAGCCUAGAUAAAGGAGAGAUUGGAAGAAAAGGAAGAAAAGGAAGGGAAGAAAAAGGAUGGUACAGAGGUUAAGAGAGAGAGAAAAGGAAAUUAGAUAAGAGGAAGAUAGAAAGAAAGGGAAGGAA